AGAUCAUGUCAUCUCAUGGAGUGUAAAACCUUGCUUUGGAGGCCACUCAUUUGGACUUUGAUGGAAUGUUUUUAAUCCCGUCAUAUAAUUUAUGCUUGGACAGAGUCAUCCAAUCAUGUGAAGAUGAUGGAGUAUACCAGGAUGCUGACGGGAUUUAAAAUGUGAAUAGAAGUCACCCUUCAGUGAGGACCAUAUCCUAAUAUCCUGUGUGCACACAUGAGCUCUGCCACUAAUUAACUGACUGACAGGAUCUUCCAAAGGACCACUGCUGCCUGCCUCGUCAGGUCGUGCCGUCAGAAGAAAUGGGUUGAAACACAAUGUUUCACCACUCAGAACUCGUGCUAAUGAGGCUCCCCUUGCCAAUUCUCUGAAUUGGAAAGGAUGAAAAAUGCCCUAGUGUGGAGAGUAUUAAUGGGAGUAUGUGGAGGAUUGAGACUGGAAAAGAGAGAGCUGAGCCCAUGGCCCAAGCCCGACAAGCUCAUGUAUAAAUAGCUUUUUGCUAAAGUUUCAUUAAAACUGCUAUCGGUUUCUCUUUGUCAACUGUUCACCUUGAUGGAGUUCUCAAGGGAGCUUGACACAAUUCAGUCAAUGUGGGAGAGCAAGAUUAACCCAAGAAGAUAUGACCCUGGUAGUCUGAAGAUUAACAAGGAUUUAAAGGAAAACAUCCCCUCCCCCAAAGCCCCAAACAAAUACACACAAAAUCUUUAGAGGAGGAAGAGAGCAGUUUGUAACAGAAAUGUAACUGUGAGGUUCUAAAAGUUAGAUUUCCCAAGAGUUCUGUGUGAACACCCUGUUUUACUCAAUCCUGACUAUUGUAAAAACACACAUUUCCUUUUUUAAAGAUUUGUUUAUUUUUUUUGAGAGAGAGAAGGAGCAAGAGAAAGCACGUGCACACAGACACAAGUGAAGGUGGGGCAGAGGGCAAGGGAGAGAGAGAAUCCCAAACCCACUCCCCGCUGAGCUUGGAGCCCAAAGUGGGGCUUGAUCCCACCACCCUGAGAUCCUGACCUGAGCUAUAGUCAGAGGCUUAACCAACUGAGCCACCACCCAGGCGCCCUGAAACACACAUUUCUAUGUUGAUGCAUACAGUAU
Mustela lutreola (European mink) is the source of this 1092-nucleotide long non-coding RNA. RefSeq lists it as uncharacterized. The transcript has 3 exons. The record is from RefSeq and is a predicted model, not a curated record. NCBI's taxonomy places the organism in Eukaryota, Metazoa, Chordata, Mammalia, Carnivora, Mustelidae.